RNAcentral lists this transfer RNA (88 nucleotides) under Lentisphaeria bacterium. Its description in RNAcentral is "tRNA-Ser". It matches the Rfam family "tRNA". From Rfam's summary of the family: Transfer RNA (tRNA) molecules are approximately 80 nucleotides in length. Their secondary structure includes four short double-helical elements and three loops (D, anti-codon, and T loops). Further hydrogen bonds mediate the characteristic L-shaped molecular structure. tRNAs have two regions of fundamental functional importance: the anti-codon, which is responsible for specific mRNA codon recognition, and the 3' end, to which the tRNAs corresponding amino acid is attached (by aminoacyl-tRNA synthetases). tRNAs cope with the degeneracy of the genetic code in two manners: having more than one tRNA (with a specific anti-codon) for a particular amino acid; and 'wobble' base-pairing, i.e. permitting non-standard base-pairing at the 3rd anti-codon position. The record is from RNAcentral. Lineage: Bacteria; Pseudomonadati; Lentisphaerota; Lentisphaeria.
GGAGAGAUGGUCGAGUGGUUUAAGGCAGCGGUCUUGAAAACCGCCGUGGGGUAACCCACCGUGAGUUCGAAUCUCACUCUCUCCGCCA